GAGGGGCAUCGGGGCGAGGAGCAAUCCUUGCCGCCGGCGACCGGCGCACGGGUGAGUAACGCGUAUGCGACCUGCCCGUUGCAGGGGGAUAAUCGGGAGAAAUCCCGUCUAAUACCGCGUAACGCCGCGGGGCUGCAUGGCCCUGCGGCCAAAGGGAGCGAUUCCGGCAACGGAUGGGCAUGCGUGACAUUAGCUAGUUGGCGGGGCAACGGCCCACCAAGGCGACGAUGUCUAGGGGUUCUGAGAGGAAGGUCCCCCACACUGGUACUGAGACACGGACCAGACUCCUACGGGAGGCAGCAGUGAGGAAUAUUGGUCAAUGGGCGCGAGCCUGAACCAGCCAAGUCGCGUGAGGGAUGACGGCCCUACGGGUUGUAAACCUCUUUUGUCGGGGAGCAAAUUCCGUUACGUGUAACGGAGUCGAGAGUACCCGAAGAAAAAGCAUCGGCUAACUCCGUGCCAGCAGCCGCGGUAAUACGGAGGAUGCGAGCGUUAUCCGGAUUUAUUGGGUUUAAAGGGUGCGUAGGCGGACUGUCAAGUCAGCGGUAAAAUACGGGGGCUCAACCUCCGCCCGCCGUUGAAGCUGACGGUCUUGAGUGGGCGAGAAGUAUGCGGAAUGCGUGGUGUAGCGGUGAAAUGCAUAGAUAUCACGCAGAACUCCGAUUGCGAAGGCAGCAUACCGGCGCCCAACUGACGCUGAAGCACGAAAGCGUGGGUAUCGAACAGGAUUAGAUACCCUGGUAGUCCACGCAGUAAACGAUGAAUACUAGCUGUCCGGGGCGAAUGAGCCCUGGGUGGCACAGCGAAAGCGUUAAGUAUUCCACCUGGGGAGUACGCCGGCAACGGUGAAACUCAAAGGAAUUGACGGGGGCCCGCACAAGCGGAGGAACAUGUGGUUUAAUUCGAUGAUACGCGAGGAACCUUACCCGGGCUCAAACGACACAGGAACGUACCUGAAAGGGUUCGGCUCUACGGAGCCUGUGUCGAGGUGCUGCAUGGUUGUCGUCAGCUCGUGCCGUGAGGUGUCGGCUUAAGUGCCAUAACGAGCGCAACCCCCAUCGACAGUUGCUAACAGGUCAGGCUGAGGACUCUGUCGAGACUGCCGGCGCAAGCUGCGAGGAAGGCGGGGAUGACGUCAAAUCAGCACGGCCCUUACGUCCGGGGCGACACACGUGUUACAAUGGCAGGUACAGCGGGAAGCCACCUGGCGACAGGGAGCGGAACCCGAAAGCCUGUCUCAGUUCGGAUUGGAGUCUGCAACCCGACUCCAUGAAGCUGGAUUCGCUAGUAAUCGCGCAUCAGCCACGGCGCGGUGAAUACGUUCCCGGGC
Molecule: ribosomal RNA, 1330 nt
Filed under: uncultured bacterium
Lineage: Bacteria
Description: bacterial SSU rRNA
Rfam family: Bacterial small subunit ribosomal RNA
Source: RNAcentral